This 368-nucleotide ribosomal RNA is filed under the name uncultured organism. RNAcentral describes it as "bacterial SSU rRNA". It matches the Rfam family "Bacterial small subunit ribosomal RNA", at positions 526 to 896 of the family's 1533-position model. The record is from RNAcentral.
CGGAGGAUCCGAGCGUUAUCCGGAUUUAUUGGGUUUAAAGGGUGCGUAGGCGGCCUGUUAAGUCAGGGGUGAAAGACGGUAGCUCAACUAUCGCAGUGCCCUUGAUACUGAUGGGCUUGAAUGUACUAGAGGUAGGCGGAAUGUGACAAGUAGCGGUGAAAUGCAUAGAUAUGUCACAGAACACCAAUUGCGAAGGCAGCUUACUAUGGUAUUAUUGACGCUGAGGCACGAAAGCGUGGGGAUCAAACAGGAUUAGAUACCCUGGUAGUCCACGCCCUAAACGAUGAAUACUCGAUGUUAGCGAUAUACAGUUAGCGUCAAAGCGAAAGCGUUAAGUAUACCACCUGGGGAGUACGCCCGCAAGGGUG